RNAcentral lists this ribosomal RNA (1177 nucleotides) under Klebsiella quasipneumoniae. RNAcentral's name for it is "partial 23S ribosomal RNA". It matches the Rfam family "Bacterial large subunit ribosomal RNA", at positions 1 to 1212 of the family's 2925-position model. The record is from RNAcentral. Lineage: Bacteria; Pseudomonadati; Pseudomonadota; Gammaproteobacteria; Enterobacterales; Enterobacteriaceae.
GGGUUGUGAGGUUAAGCGACUAAGCGUACACGGUGGAUGCCCUGGCAGUCAGAGGCGAUGAAGGACGUGCUAAUCUGCGAAAAGCGUCGGUAAGGUGAUAUGAACCGUUACAGCCGGCGAUGUCCGAAUGGGGAAACCCAGUGCAAUUCGUUGCACUAUCGUUAACUGAAUACAUAGGUUAACGAGGCGAACCGGGGGAACUGAAACAUCUAAGUACCCCGAGGAAAAGAAAUCAACCGAGAUUCCCCCAGUAGCGGCGAGCGAACGGGGAGCAGCCCAGAGUCUGAAUCAGCUUGUGUGUUAGUGGAACGGUCUGGAAAGUCCGACGGUACAGGGUGAUAGUCCCGUACACCAAAAUGCACAGGUUGUGAACUCGAAGAGUAGGGCGGGACACGUGGUAUCCUGUCUGAAUAUGGGGGGACCAUCCUCCAAGGCUAAAUACUCCUGACUGACCGAUAGUGAACCAGUACCGUGAGGGAAAGGCGAAAAGAACCCCGGCGAGGGGAGUGAAAAAGAACCUGAAACCGUGUACGUACAAGCAGUGGGAGCACCUUCGGGUGUGACUGCGUACCUUUUGUAUAAUGGGUCAGCGACUUAUAUUCUGUAGCAAGGUUAACCGUAUAGGGGAGCCGCAGGGAAACCGAGUCUUAACUGGGCGUUAAGUUGCAGGGUAUAGACCCGAAACCCGGUGAUCUAGCCAUGGGCAGGUUGAAGGUUGGGUAACACUAACUGGAGGACCGAACCGACUAAUGUUGAAAAAUUAGCGGAUGACUUGUGGCUGGGGGUGAAAGGCCAAUCAAACCGGGAGAUAGCUGGUUCUCCCCGAAAGCUAUUUAGGUAGCGCCUCGUGAAUUCAUCUUCGGGGGUAGAGCACUGUUUCGGCUAGGGGGUCAUCCCGACUUACCAACCCGAUGCAAACUACGAAUACCGAAGAAUGUUAUCACGGGAGACACACGGCGGGUGCUAACGUCCGUCGUGAAGAGGGAAACAACCCAGACCGCCAGCUAAGGUCCCAAAGUCAUGGUUAAGUGGGAAACGAUGUGGGAAGGCACAGACAGCCAGGAUGUUGGCUUAGAAGCAGCCAUCAUUUAAAGAAAGCGUAAUAGCUCACUGGUCGAGUCGGCCUGCGCGGAAGAUGUAACGGGGCUAAACCAUGCACCGAAGCUGCGGCAGCGAC